Molecule: unclassified non-coding RNA, 273 nt
Organism: Oryctolagus cuniculus (rabbit)
Lineage: Eukaryota; Metazoa; Chordata; Mammalia; Lagomorpha; Leporidae
Rfam family: Metazoan signal recognition particle RNA
About the family: The signal recognition particle (SRP) is a universally conserved ribonucleoprotein. It is involved in the co-translational targeting of proteins to membranes. The eukaryotic SRP consists of a 300-nucleotide 7S RNA and six proteins: SRPs 72, 68, 54, 19, 14, and 9.
Source: Ensembl
GCCGGGCCGCGCUUGUAGUCCCAGCUACUCGGGAGGCUGAAGCCAGAGGAUCGCUUGAGUCUAGGAGUUCUGGGCUGUUGUGCGCUAUGCCAAUCAGGAGUACACACUAAGUUCGGCAUCAAUAUGGUGACUCCUGGGAGCAGGGGACCACCAGGUUGCCUAAGGAGGGGUGAACCAGCCCAGGUUGGAAACGGAGCAGGUCAAAACUCCCGUGCUGAUCAGAAGGGAAAGUUCUCAAUGUUACCAGUAAGUUAAUAUUGGUUGUAGGAAUUU